This 310-nucleotide ribosomal RNA is filed under the name uncultured Pezizomycotina. RNAcentral describes it as "eukaryotic LSU rRNA". The stretch from base 1 to 122 matches the Rfam family "5.8S ribosomal RNA", at positions 33 to 154 of the family's 154-position model. Lineage: Eukaryota; Fungi; Ascomycota. The record is from RNAcentral.
UCGAUGAAGAACGCAGCGAAAUGCGAUAAGUAAUGUGAAUUGCAGAAUUCAGUGAAUCAUCGAAUCUUUGAACGCACAUUGCGCCCUCUGGUAUUCCGGGGGGCAUGCCUGUUCGAGCGUCAUUACAACCCUCAAGCUCAGCUUGGUAUUGGGCUCGCCCUUCAUGGGCCUGCCUUAAAAUCAGUGGCGGCUCCGUCCAGUCUCAAGCGCAGUAAUACUCGCCGCUUGUUAGGCUUGGUCGGCGGUUUGCUAACAACCCCCAAUUUACAAGGUUGACCUCGGAUCAGGUAGGGAUACCCGCUGAACUUAA